Molecule: long non-coding RNA, 172 nt
Organism: Lucilia sericata (common green bottle fly)
Lineage: Eukaryota; Metazoa; Arthropoda; Insecta; Diptera; Calliphoridae
Exons: 3
Source: RefSeq, a predicted model, not a curated record
UUAGGCUUUAAAGACUCUUGUUUGGACAAGGAAAUUAUGCAAAUAAAGAUUACAACCUAAACUACUAACAAAAGCUUUCUACCAAACAGCUGCCUCAGUGAACAACAAAAUGGCUUUAAGUUAAUUUGCCACCAAUUCAAAUAAACCCCAAAUUAACAAACCUACAAAACAA